UCCGUAGCCGGUUUGAUCAGUCUUUUGGGAAAUCUGACAGCUUAACUGUUAGGCUUCCAAAGGAUACUGUCAGACUUGGGACCGGGAGAGGUAAGAGGUACUACAGGGGUAGGAGUGAAAUCUUGUAAUCCCUGUGGGACCACCAGUGGCGAAGGCGUCUUACCAGAACGGGUCCGACGGUGAGGGACGAAAGCUGGGGGCACGAACCGGAUUAGAUACCCGGGUAGUCCCAGCCGUAAACGAUGCUCGCUAGGUGUCAGGAAUGGUGCGACCGUUUCUGGUGCCGUAGGGAAGCCGUGAAGCGAGCCACCUGGGAAGUACGGCCGUAAGGCUGAAACUUAAAGGAAUUGGCGGGGGAGCACUACAACGGGUGGAGCCUGCGGUUUAAUUGGACUCAACGCCGGAAAACUCACCGGGGGCGACAGCAAUAUGUAGGUCAGGCUAAAGACCUUACCCGAAUCGCUGAGAGGAGGUGCAUGGCCGUCGUCAGUUCGUACUGUGAAGCAUCCUGUUAAGUCAGGCAACGAGCGAGACCCGUGCCCACUGUUGCCAGCAUGUUCUUCGGAAUGAUGGGUACUCUGUGGGGACCGCCGCUGCUAAAGCGGAGGAAGGUGCGGGCUACGGUAGGUCAGUAUGCCCCGAAUCUCCCGGGCUACACGCGGGCUACAAUGAUUGGGACAAUGGGUCCCUACCCUGAAAAGGGAUGGUAAUCUCAUAAACCCAAUCGUAGUUCGAAUCGAGGACUGUAACUCGUCCUCGUGAAGCUGGAAUCCGUAGUAAUCGCGUUUCAACAUAGCGCGGUGAAUACGUCCCUGCUCCUUGCACACACUGCCCGUCAAACCACCCGAGUGAGGUAUGGGUGAGGGCACGGACAUGAGUGCCGUGUUCGAACCUAAAUUUCGCAAGGGGGGUUAAGUCG
This 919-nucleotide ribosomal RNA is filed under the name uncultured archaeon. Its description in RNAcentral is "bacterial SSU rRNA". It matches the Rfam family "Archaeal small subunit ribosomal RNA", at positions 518 to 1435 of the family's 1478-position model. The record is from RNAcentral.